Molecule: long non-coding RNA, 2243 nt
Filed under: Nicotiana benthamiana
Lineage: Eukaryota; Viridiplantae; Streptophyta; Magnoliopsida; Solanales; Solanaceae
Description: long non-coding RNA (NBEN_LNC029350)
Source: RNAcentral
AAGCAUGGACAAUAUUUGAUAGCAUACAAAUAAGAAAGGCUCACCUCUGUUGUAGACCAGCUAAUCGCUAUAGAACUAACAAGUAAAUGAGUCUGGACCUCGAACAAGGCCGGCAUAAGUUAAAAUUGAGAAAUAGCUAGCUAUCAAAACAAGCACUUCAAGAAAGCUGGUGAGAAUGGCCUAAUCAGCUGCUUACCAUGACCCAAAUUCUUCUAAGAUGCACUGAAUAUUAACUAGACAAACACCCUCGGAUUCUCUGUUAAUAAUCUACUUGACACUCUGAUCUUAUAUAGCUAAUGAUAUUGCCAUAUCAAAGAUGCAGAAGAAAAGGAAAGACUGGCCAAUGAUCGAGUUACUAAGCAACUAAGCAGGCCCUUAAAGGAUUUGUAAUAACUUCAUCUUCAAUGGACAAGCAACCUCUUGUAGCACCAGAAUCCUCAAUACAAACGUUACCAUGUCCAAAAGGAUAAAUGCUCAUUUCAAAAUAUCACUCAAGUGCAAAUUUAUAUGACAAUUGGAGAAGAAAGUAAUGCAAGCAAUUGAGAGGUUGUUCCCAAUUUUAUCAGUGGAACACUUGAUUGAUAAACGAACUAAAACUAAGGUAACAUUAGUUAAGAAAGAAAUACUGACAUACCUAUCAUAGAACCGAAGGCUAAGGCCUGUAAGAAAUUUACAGUUAUCAGGAGCCCUCUAAUUCAAAUUUAAAAUUCAUCAACUUCAAACCAAAAAAAUAUGCAAGAUGAUCAUAAAGCAGGGAAAAGGGAAACUCUUCAGUGAAUCAUAUCGAACUUGUCGAAACAAAAUAGUAGAUGCAUUCAGAGUCAUGCAAGUAGGAUGCCUGAACAGUGCAAAUAGGGAGGCUGACUCAAUUCAUCAAGGUUCAGAAUGAUUACUUAGAUUCGAGUCCCUAACAAAUACUAUUAAUUAGCCUAUACUCGAUGAAAGUCCCAAAAUUUUGGUGCAAAAGUAAGCUCAUACUUUUAACCAGCAGAACGUGCAAAUAUGGUCGAGGGAUCAGGGAAAACGAAACCAUUCAAUGAUUCAUGUCGAACAUAUCAAAACUAAGACAGAAGAUACAAGCAGAUUGACUUAAAUAUUGAAGAACAUCAUAUGCAAGAGAAGAAGCAGAGAAGAUCAUCUUAUGAAGCGAUCAUCCCUUAACAACACGACCAAAAUUCUGUCCAAUAACACUUCAAAACAAAGAAAAAACCAACUAUUCAAGUAAAGAGGGUGAUUCUAAUUCAAAGCUUCUGGAAAAAAAUAAGAAGGAUUUCUCAGGAAUAAAUCACUCAAAGUCCAGGAAGAAAACAUCCUGAGAAUAAUUGUCAUAGUUUCAGGCUUGCUUAGCAAUCAAAAAAGUGGAGCACAUCGUUCAUUUGAAAGCGACGAAACCUUAACUCAAAAUGAAACUCGGCAUCACAAUAACAGUUAAACCAUAGAAAACCACCACUCAAAAUCAACUUCUACUAACUGAAAAUAUUCAAAUACAUCACACCACUAAGAAGCAGUUCAACUGCAAAAAGAAUCACGCACAAAACCAAACAUCAUUCUGGACAAAAUCUCACUGCUCAAAAUACUUUAUAACAGAGAUGCGUUGAGAAAGAAGUCGAACCUGAAAUUUCAAAAUCCUUUUAAUAACUAUGUUCUCGACAAUACACCUUUUGAUUCCGAAUCCUAUCAUGGUUCAGUAGUGACCCAGCAGAACAACAUUAGAAACAUAGCUCGAAUAUCAAUUUGUAUCUUCCAGGAACUCAAAUCCGGAUACAAAAAUAAGACGAAAAAUUGUAUCUAUAUUUUUCUUAUACUUUGAUGACCUCGUCAAAGAAAGUCAACUCGGAAAAUCCAUUUGUUCACAGAAAACCUUUCGGCCUUUUUCUCUGAAUUUUUUUAGCCGAGCCCUUUCAAAAUUGGAUAGAGCUUCUUUUGAAAAUGAAUUCCUGAUGAAUGUGGGGCUUGGAUUGAGUGAAAUCAAUCCAACGCCUCACACUCAUCCAGCAAAUCCUUUCCAGAAACCUCCAAUCAAAGAUACGGCUCAAUUCGAGCGAGUAGGAAGAAUCUUCCAUCAGAGACCGUUAGAAAUGGUAAGAAGAGAGAUAGAGGAACGUGUGGGUUAGGGGUUGAUGCUCACUCACCAUAUAUUUGGAUGGAAUUUUGGGGCUUGGGUUCGGGUAAGAACGAUGAUGAACAAUGCUUGAGGUCUAGGGCUCUGGGAGAUCGUUUGGUUGUAUUUGUUCUUGUAUUUU